Molecule: transfer RNA, 74 nt
Filed under: Gracilimonas halophila
Lineage: Bacteria; Pseudomonadati; Balneolota; Balneolia; Balneolales; Balneolaceae
Also listed under: 2 other names
Description: tRNA-Pro
Rfam family: tRNA
About the family: Transfer RNA (tRNA) molecules are approximately 80 nucleotides in length. Their secondary structure includes four short double-helical elements and three loops (D, anti-codon, and T loops). Further hydrogen bonds mediate the characteristic L-shaped molecular structure. tRNAs have two regions of fundamental functional importance: the anti-codon, which is responsible for specific mRNA codon recognition, and the 3' end, to which the tRNAs corresponding amino acid is attached (by aminoacyl-tRNA synthetases). tRNAs cope with the degeneracy of the genetic code in two manners: having more than one tRNA (with a specific anti-codon) for a particular amino acid; and 'wobble' base-pairing, i.e. permitting non-standard base-pairing at the 3rd anti-codon position.
Source: RNAcentral
CGGGGCGUGGCUCAGCUAGGUAGAGCGCUCGGCUGGGGGUCGAGAGGUCGCAAGUUCAAAUCUUGUCGCCCCGA